GAAUUGAAAAUUGUUUUUCGAUUUAUUUCACUUGGUUGAUUGGGGUUAUGAAUAGAUAAAUUGUGUUAUUUAUCUUUUUACUUCUCAUUCGAAUUAAUUUAUGUGGAUUUAAUGGACUUUUGUUUCAUUUGUAAAGCGCCCCUACUGUCUGCCUUACUGGAUGUCACUUUCGGGCAAGAUACAACAUCGUCUAUAGCACCAUCGAUAACGCCUGUGGCAGCUUCAUCAGCGACACCAGGUGCAUCAUCAUCAGCCUCGUACUCAGCAUCAGCCUCGUCUUCAACGAACAAAACACAUUCACCGGUCGAGCUUAGAUAUACAUAUGUUAUAUUGGCUAUAUUUUUUAACCAUUGUUUAUGACAAUAUGCAAUUAAGACAGUUCCGAUUUUAUUUCUUUUUAUUUAUGUAGCAUCUACGCCGAUAGCACCAUCACCAACAACGACGUUCAAGUCGUACGAUUGCUACAAUGGCAAUUGUAAUGGCAACGGCACAUGUGUACCCCCUUCUACAUGCCAAGUAACCAAUAGCAGUUUUGGAUGUUAACGCAAGGUAUUUAAUGAAACUGAAUUCGAAUACGGAUGCAGGGAAUGCAAAAUUGCGGAAAACAAGGACGAUGACUGGUGUUGUUUUGACAAAAAGGACUGUAAACCUGACAAAACGUCUGGGGGAGAUGCUACUAUGCUGACCUCGUUCAUGGCAACCAUUGUUACUUUGGCAACAUGCAUGGCGACAUGUAUCAGAUGGAAUUAUAUCUAGUUUGUAUAAGAAAUGAUAUACAUGAAAACAUUGUGUGGCGUAUUAUACAAAUGUGCAUUAGUAGUUCGAUAUAGAAUGCCUUUGUAUUAAGAAAAAAGAAAACCGUUUAUGUUGCAUUUUAUCACAUUUUUACCUUAGCAAAUUUCGCAAAAUUUUAAUAAUGCAUACCAUUAUUAAGUGAUCAAAUAAUAAUGGCAAUAAUGCAAACAGAACAAAACCAUGUUUAAAAGAUGAUUGUUUUGAUUUUGUCCUCAAUGCAAAUAGGACAUGUCGAAAACGAUCUACUAUGUGAGCUACAGCCCGCUGUGAGCUAUUGGAACUUAAGCACAACUUAAUCCCAUGAAACGCUCUUGAAAGUGGGUGGAUUAAUAAGCCUUAGAGAUUCGACACGUACGAUCUUUAAUAAUUAGAUUAAAGGUUACGAAAUGCAAUAUUAAAAGUGAGUUUUAACGCAGUGUUAUGUAUCGUAGUACACAUGUGUGCAGAUAGUUCUUAGUGUCGUGAAAGCAACCGUGGGGCGCCGCUGAU
Molecule: long non-coding RNA, 1284 nt
Organism: Dreissena polymorpha
Lineage: Eukaryota; Metazoa; Mollusca; Bivalvia; Myida; Dreissenidae
Exons: 4
Source: RefSeq, a predicted model, not a curated record